RNAcentral lists this ribosomal RNA (467 nucleotides) under uncultured bacterium. RNAcentral's name for it is "partial 16S ribosomal RNA". It matches the Rfam family "Bacterial small subunit ribosomal RNA", at positions 28 to 507 of the family's 1533-position model. The record is from RNAcentral.
GACGAACGCUGGCGGCGUGCUUAACACAUGCAAGUCGAACGGAAAGGCCCUGCUUUUGUGGGGUCUCGAGUGGCGAACGGGUGAGUAACACGUGAGUAACCUGCCCUUGACUUUGGGAUAACUUCAGGAAACUGGGGCUAAUACCGGAUAGGAGCUCCUGCUGCAUGGUGGGGGUUGGAAAGUUUCGGCGGUUGGGGAUGGACUCGCGGCUUAUCAGCUUGUUGGUGGGGUAGUGGCUUACCAAGGCUUUGACGGGUAGCCGGCCUGGGAGGGUGACCGGCCACAUUGGGACUGAGAUACGGCCCAGACUCCUACGGGAGGCAGCAGUGGGGAAUAUUGCACAAUGGGCGGAAGCCUGAUGCAGCAACGCCGCGUGCGGGAUGACGGCCUUCGGGUUGUAAACCGCUUUCGCCUGUGACGAAGCGUGAGCGACGGUAAUGGGUAAAGAAGCACCGGCCAACUACGUG